CCUUCGGACCAAAAUUGUUGUAUGGCUUGUGUGGGGCGACGGGCACAACGUGAAUCCGUAAUAGGCCAUGGCGGGUGUCUUUUUAAGCAUCCAAGCCAUACAACAAUUUGGGGUUGGGAGGUGAUGGAUAUAAAUCGGUGUACGUUUAUUGUCGGAUGAUAUGGUUGCGUGAUUUACACUAAACAUACAUCGAUUUAUAUCCAUCAUGGCGCUUAUCGAUGUAUGGCUUGUGUGGGGCGAGAAACACAACGUGGAGCUGUAAAAGGAUCUGCAAGGGUUUCCCAAACCACACAAGCCAUACAUCGGUUGUAAGUCGCAAAACAACCACAGUUGUUGUAUUGCUUGGAUGUGUGCGAGAGGCACAACGUGAAUCCGUAAUAGGCCAUGGCGGGUGUCUUUUUAAGCGUCCAAGGCAUACAAAAAUUGGGGGGUUGGGAUUAUUCUAGCGGGUUUCGUUCUCUUCGUAUCGUGC
This 472-nucleotide unclassified non-coding RNA is filed under the name Lessingia tenuis. Its description in RNAcentral is "partial external transcribed spacer". The record is from RNAcentral. Lineage: Eukaryota; Viridiplantae; Streptophyta; Magnoliopsida; Asterales; Asteraceae.